This 400-nucleotide long non-coding RNA is filed under the name Homo sapiens (human). RNAcentral describes it as "HSALNT0281189". Lineage: Eukaryota; Metazoa; Chordata; Mammalia; Primates; Hominidae. The record is from RNAcentral.
GAGGCGGCUGAUCACCAGUUUCAGGUGUUUUCUAUCUAGUGCCUUUCCCUAGCGCUGGCUGCAACCAAUUAUUAUAGUAGCUUAACAACCACCUAACCAUCACCUCAUGGUCGCCUGACAUUCAUGGUGGGGGCGGCCCUUCUCCUGCCCUGCUCGUGUCUGGUGUCUGACUAGCUACCUACUAUAACAAAACCACUCUGCUCUUCUGGAAGUUAUAGUCAAGGGAACCCAGGACCUGACAAGCCUGCAAAAAGGGAAAGAAUUUCUUACCAAUCAGAUUCCUGGGUGUCUAUCUGUGGAAUCUGAUCAAGCAGAAGGACUUCAAAAUCUUCUGAAAUGUACCUUCACAAACCCCUUGGGAGAUUUCAAAGAAACAGUGGCCAGGAUCCAUAAGUUUUGU